Molecule: ribosomal RNA, 449 nt
Filed under: uncultured bacterium
Lineage: Bacteria
Description: partial 16S ribosomal RNA
Rfam family: Bacterial small subunit ribosomal RNA
Source: RNAcentral
CCUACGGGGGGCUGCAGUGGGGAAUUUUGGACAAUGGGGGCAACCCUGAUCCAGCCAUGCCGCGUGCGGGAAGAAGGCCUUCGGGUUGUAAACCGCUUUUGUCAGGGAAGAAAUCUUCCGAGCUAAUACCUUGGGAGGAUGACGGUACCUGAAGAAUAAGCACCGGCUAACUACGUGCCAGCAGCCGCGGUAAUACGUAGGGUGCAAGCGUUAAUCGGAAUUGCUCGGCGUAUUGUGUAAGACAGCGGUUAAAUCCCCAGGCUUAACCUGGGAACUGCACUUGUGACUGUACGGCUGGAGUACGGCAGAGGGGGAUGGAAUUCCGCGUGUAGCAGUGAAAUGCGUAGAUGUGCGGAGGAACACCGAUGGCGAAGGCAGUCCCCUGGGCCUGUACUGACGCUCAUGCACGAAAGCGUGGGGAGCAAACAGGAUUAGAUACCCCAGUAGUC